UACAUGCAGUCGAACGGGAUAGAACUUAGCAAUAGGUUCUUGAGAGUGGCGCAUGGGUGCGUAACACGUAUGCAACCUACCUUUAACUGGGGGAUAGCCUCUCGAAAGAGAGAUUAAUACCCCAUAGUAUAACUGAAGAGCAUUUUUUGGUUAUUAAAGAUUUAUCGGUUAAAGAUGGGCAUGCGGCUGAUUAGGUAGUUGGUGAGGUAAUGGCUCACCAAGCCAACGAUCAGUAGGGGGUCUGAGAGGAUGUCCCCCCACACUGGUACUGAGACACGGACCAGACUCCUACGGGAGGCAGCAGUAGGGAAUAUUGGACAAUGGGGGCAACCCUGAUCCAGCCAUUCCGCGUGCAGGAAUAAGGCCCUAUGGGUCGUAAACUGCUUUUGUAUGGGAAAAAAUCAUCUUACGUGUAGGGUGUUGAUGGUACCAUGAGAAUAAGGAUCGGCUAACUUCGUGCCAGCAGCCGCGGUAAUACGAAGGAUCCAAGCGUUGUCCGGAUUUACUGGGUUUAAAGGGUGCGUAGGCGGGGAAUUAAGUCAGUGGUGAAAGCUGGUAGCUCAACUAUCAAAUUGCCAUUGAAACUGAUUCUCUCGAGUACGGUUGAGGUAGCUGGAAUGUAACAUGUAGCGGUGAAAUGCUUAGAUAUGUUACAGAACACCGAUUGCGAAGGCAGGCUACUAAACCGUAACUGACGCUGAGGCACGAAAGCGUGGGGAUCAAACAGGAUUAGAUACCCUGGUAGUCCACGCUGUAAACGUUGCAUACUCGGUCUUAGCGAUAUACAGUUAGGACCUAAGCGAAAGCAUUAAGUAUGCCACCUGGGGAGUACGGUCGCAAGAUUGAAACUCAAAGGAAUUGACGGGGGCCCGCACAAGCGGAGGAGCAUGUGGGUUAAU
RNAcentral lists this ribosomal RNA (899 nucleotides) under uncultured Bacteroidota bacterium. RNAcentral describes it as "bacterial SSU rRNA". It matches the Rfam family "Bacterial small subunit ribosomal RNA", at positions 52 to 950 of the family's 1533-position model. The record is from RNAcentral. Lineage: Bacteria; Pseudomonadati; Bacteroidota.